GUCGAACACAUUGACCUAUUCCCCAGUUCUCUGAUACAUAGAAGAUUAGCAUGGCACCUGUGCAAGGAUCACACAUACAAAUCGAGAUAUGUGUAACAUCCUG
Small nuclear RNA from Lactuca sativa (garden lettuce), 103 nucleotides. The record is from RefSeq and is a predicted model, not a curated record. Lineage: Eukaryota; Viridiplantae; Streptophyta; Magnoliopsida; Asterales; Asteraceae.